GAUGAACGCUGGCGGCGUGCUUAACACAUGCAAGUCGAACGAAGCAUUUAGGUGAAUCCCUUUCGGGGGUGAAGCCUAUCUGACUGAGUGGCGGACGGGUGAGUAACGCGUGGGUAACCUGCCUUACACAGGGGGAUAACAGCUGGAAACGGCUGCUAAUACCGCAUAAGCGCACAGUGUCGCAUGGCACAGUGCGAAAAGAUUCUAUCGGUGUAAGAUGGACCCGCGUCUGAUUAGCUGGUUGGUGGGGUAAUGGCCUACCAAGGCAACGAUCAGUAGCCGGCUUGAGAGAGUGAACGGCCACAUUGGGACUGAGGCACGGCCCAAACUCCUACGGGAGGCAGCAGUGGGGAAUAUUGCACAAUGGGGGAAACCCUGAUGCAGCGACGCCGCGUGAGUGAAGAAGUAUUUCGGUAUGUAAAGCUCUAUCAGCAGGGACGAAAGAAGUUGAAAAAUACUUUGUGACGGUACCUGACUAAGAAGCCCCGGCUAACUACGUGCCAGCAGCCGCCGUAA
This 516-nucleotide ribosomal RNA is filed under the name uncultured bacterium. Its description in RNAcentral is "partial 16S ribosomal RNA". It matches the Rfam family "Bacterial small subunit ribosomal RNA", at positions 28 to 523 of the family's 1533-position model. The record is from RNAcentral.